GGAGGGUGCGAGCGUUGUUCGGAAUUACUGGGCGUAAAGCGCGUGUAGGCGGCUACUUAUGUCGGGUGUGAAAGCCCUGGGCCCAACCCAGGAAGUGCGUCCGAAACUGAGUGGCUUGAGUACGAGAGAGGAGGACGGAAUUCCCAGUGUAGAGGUGAAAUUCGUAGAUAUUGGGAGGAACACCGGUGGCGAAAGCGGUUCUCUGGAUCGAUACUGACGCUAAGACGCGAAAGCGUGGGUAGCAAACAGGAUUAGAUACCCUGGUAGUCCACGCCGUAAACGAUGGAUAUUAGGUGUUGCGGGCAACCCCCCCGCAGUGCCGUCGCUAACGCAUUAAAUAUCCCGCCUGGGGAGUACGGCCGCAAGGUUA
This 370-nucleotide ribosomal RNA is filed under the name uncultured organism. RNAcentral's name for it is "partial 16S ribosomal RNA". It matches the Rfam family "Bacterial small subunit ribosomal RNA", at positions 527 to 896 of the family's 1533-position model. The record is from RNAcentral.